RNAcentral lists this ribosomal RNA (250 nucleotides) under uncultured bacterium. Its description in RNAcentral is "partial 16S ribosomal RNA". It matches the Rfam family "Bacterial small subunit ribosomal RNA", at positions 524 to 773 of the family's 1533-position model. The record is from RNAcentral.
UACGUAGGAUCCAAGCGUUGUCCGGAUUUACUGGGUGUAAAGGGUGCGCAGGCGGACUUGUUAGUCAGAGGUGAAAUCUCACUGCUCAACAGUGAAACUGCCUUUGAUACUGCAGGUCUUGAAUCCAGAAGAGAGUUGUGGAAUUCCGAGUGUAGCAGUGAAAUGUGUAGAUAUUCGGAAGAACACCAGCGGCGAAGGCAGCAACUUGGUCUGGUAUUGACGCUCAGGCACGAAAGCAUGGGGAUCAAAC